RNAcentral lists this long non-coding RNA (1101 nucleotides) under Bemisia tabaci. RNAcentral describes it as "lncRNA ENSSSA1NGG007381". The record is from RNAcentral. Lineage: Eukaryota; Metazoa; Arthropoda; Insecta; Hemiptera; Aleyrodidae.
AUGGCAGACCUCACCGGGACUUGCCAGCUAAUGCCACACUUUGCCAGUUCUUGCGAGCCCUUGCCAACCCCCUUACCAGCCCUUUCCGGCCCAUGCCACACCUUGCCAGCCCUUGCUAGCUCUAGCCAUCCUUGCCAGCCGAUGUCAGACCAUGCCAGACCUUCUCAACCGUUGCCACACCAUGCCAGCCAUUACCGCACCUUACCAGACCUUGAAAGCCCAUGCCAGCCAAUCCCAGACCUUGCCAGCCCAUGCCGGACCUUGUCACACCUUGUCGGCCCUUGCCAGAACCUACCGGUCCUUGCAAGUCCUUGCCAGCCCAUGCCAGCUCAUGCAUGUCCAUGCCAGCCCAUGCCAGCCAUGCCGGCCCAUGCCGGCCUUUGCCAACCCUUGCCAUCCCACGCCAUACUUUGGCAGACCUUGCCAGUCCUUGCUCGCCUUUGUCAGCCUUUAGCAGCCCUUCCCAGCCUAGCUAGACCUAACAAGACCUUGCCAGCCCAUGCCAGACCUCACCAGGACUUGCCAGCUAUGCCACACUUUGCCAGUUCUUGCGAGCCCUUGCCAACCCCCUUACCAGCCCUUUCCGGCCCAUGCCACACCUUGCCAGCCCUUGCUAGCUCUAGCCAUCCUUGCCAGCCGAUGUCAGACCAUGCCAGACCUUCUCAACCAUUGCCAGACCAUGCCAGCCAUUACCGCACCUUACCAGACCUUGAAGCCCAUGCCAGCCAAACCCAGACCUUACCAGCCCUUUCCGGCCCAUGCCACACCUUGCCAGCCCUUGCUAGCUCUAGCCAUCCUUGCCAGCCGAUGUCAAACCAUGCCAGACCUUCUCAACCGUUGCCAGACCAUGCCAGCCAUUACCGCACCUUACCAGACCUUGAAAGCCCAUGCCAGCCAAUCCCAGACCUUGCCAGCCCAUGCCAGACCUUGUCACACCUUGUCGGCCCUUGCCAGAACCUACCGGUCCUUGCAAGCCCUUGCCAGCCCAUGCCAGCUCAUGCAUGCCCAUGCCAGCCCAUGCCGGCCUUUGCCAACCCUUGCCAUCCCACGCCAUACUUUGGCAGACCUUGCCAGUCCUUGCUCGCCUUUGUCAGCCUUUAG